RNAcentral lists this microRNA (21 nucleotides) under Populus trichocarpa (black cottonwood). Lineage: Eukaryota; Viridiplantae; Streptophyta; Magnoliopsida; Malpighiales; Salicaceae. RNAcentral also lists the same sequence under 2 other names. The record is from RNAcentral.
CAGCCAAGAAUGAUUUGCCGG